This 2987-nucleotide ribosomal RNA is filed under the name Salmonella enterica. Its description in RNAcentral is "23S ribosomal RNA". It matches the Rfam family "Bacterial large subunit ribosomal RNA". Lineage: Bacteria; Pseudomonadati; Pseudomonadota; Gammaproteobacteria; Enterobacterales; Enterobacteriaceae. RNAcentral also lists the same sequence under 2 other names. The record is from RNAcentral.
GGUUAAGCGACUAAGCGUACACGGUGGAUGCCCUGGCAGUCAGAGGCGAUGAAGGGCGUGCUAAUCUGCGAUAAGCGCCGGUAAGGUGAUAUGAACCGUUAUAACCGGCGAUACCCGAAUGGGGAAACCCAGUGUGAUUCGUCACACUAUCAUUAACUGAAUCCAUAGGUUAAUGAGGCGAACCGGGGGAACUGAAACAUCUAAGUACCCCGAGGAAAAGAAAUCAACCGAGAUUCCCCCAGUAGCGGCGAGCGAACGGGGAGGAGCCCAGAGCCUGAAUCAGCAUGUGUGUUAGUGGAAGCGUCUGGAAAGGCGCGCGAUACAGGGUGACAGCCCCGUACACAAAAGCGCAUGUGCUGUGAGCUCGAUGAGUAGGGCGGGACACGUGGUAUCCUGUCUGAAUAUGGGGGGACCAUCCUCCAAGGCUAAAUACUCCUGACUGACCGAUAGUGAACCAGUACCGUGAGGGAAAGGCGAAAAGAACCCCGGCGAGGGGAGUGAAAAAGAACCUGAAACCGUGUACGUACAAGCAGUGGGAGCCUCUUUUAUGGGGUGACUGCGUACCUUUUGUAUAAUGGGUCAGCGACUUAUAUUCUGUAGCAAGGUUAACCGAAUAGGGGAGCCGGAGGGAAACCGAGUCUUAACCGGGCGUUAAGUUGCAGGGUAUAGACCCGAAACCCGGUGAUCUAGCCAUGGGCAGGUUGAAGGUUGGGUAACACUAACUGGAGGACCGAACCGACUAAUGUUGAAAAAUUAGCGGAUGACCUGUGGCUGGGGGUGAAAGGCCAAUCAAACCGGGAGAUAGCUGGUUCUCCCCGAAAGCUAUUUAGGUAGCGCCUCGUGAAUUCAUCUCCGGGGGUAGAGCACUGUUUCGGCUAGGGGGCCAUCCCGGCUUACCAACCCGAUGCAAACUGCGAAUACCGGAGAAUGUUAUCACGGGAGACACACGGCGGGUGCUAACGUCCGUCGUGAAGAGGGAAACAACCCAGACCGCCAGCUAAGGUCCCAAAGUCAUGGUUAAGUGGGAAACGAUGUGGGAAGGCCCAGACAGCCAGGAUGUUGGCUUAGAAGCAGCCAUCAUUUAAAGAAAGCGUAAUAGCUCACUGGUCGAGUCGGCCUGCGCGGAAGAUGUAACGGGGCUAAACCAUGCACCGAAGCUGCGGCAGCGAACGUAUCACUUAAAGCGAUUCAGCGGGUUACGAUUGACGGAGCGAAGCGACGUCAAAGCGUAUACAAAGUCGAGUCGGUUUAAGGAUACGUUCGUUGGGUAGGGGAGCGUUCUGUAAGCCUGCGAAGGUGGCCUGUGAGGGUUGCUGGAGGUAUCAGAAGUGCGAAUGCUGACAUAAGUAACGAUAAAGCGGGUGAAAAGCCCGCUCGCCGGAAGACCAAGGGUUCCUGUCCAACGUUAAUCGGGGCAGGGUGAGUCGACCCCUAAGGCGAGGCCGAAAGGCGUAGUCGAUGGGAAACGGGUUAAUAUUCCCGUACUUGGUGUUACUGCGAAGGGGGGACGGAGAAGGCUAUGUUGGCCGGGCGACGGUUGUCCCGGUUUAAGCGUGUAGGUGUGUGUUCCAGGUAAAUCCGGUUCACUUUAACACUGAGGCGUGAUGACGAGGCACUACGGUGCUGAAGCAACAAAUGCCCUGCUUCCAGGAAAAGCCUCUAAGCAUCAGGUAACAUCAAAUCGUACCCCAAACCGACACAGGUGGUCAGGUAGAGAAUACCAAGGCGCUUGAGAGAACUCGGGUGAAGGAACUAGGCAAAAUGGUGCCGUAACUUCGGGAGAAGGCACGCUGACACGUAGGUGAAGUGAUUUACUCACGGAGCUGAAGUCAGUCGAAGAUACCAGCUGGCUGCAACUGUUUAUUAAAAACACAGCACUGUGCAAACACGAAAGUGGACGUAUACGGUGUGACGCCUGCCCGGUGCCGGAAGGUUAAUUGAUGGGGUCAGCGCAAGCGAAGCUCCUGAUCGAAGCCCCGGUAAACGGCGGCCGUAACUAUAACGGUCCUAAGGUAGCGAAAUUCCUUGUCGGGUAAGUUCCGACCUGCACGAAUGGCGUAAUGAUGGCCAGGCUGUCUCCACCCGAGACUCAGUGAAAUUGAACUCGCUGUGAAGAUGCAGUGUACCCGCGGCAAGACGGAAAGACCCCGUGAACCUUUACUAUAGCUUGACACUGAACAUUGAGCCUUGAUGUGUAGGAUAGGUGGGAGGCUUUGAAGUGUGGACGCCAGUCUGCAUGGAGCCGACCUUGAAAUACCACCCUUUAAUGUUUGAUGUUCUAACGUGGACCCGUGAUCCGGGUUGCGGACAGUGUCUGGUGGGUAGUUUGACUGGGGCGGUCUCCUCCUAAAGAGUAACGGAGGAGCACGAAGGUUGGCUAAUCCUGGUCGGACAUCAGGAGGUUAGUGCAAUGGCAUAAGCCAGCUUGACUGCGAGCGUGACGGCGCGAGCAGGUGCGAAAGCAGGUCAUAGUGAUCCGGUGGUUCUGAAUGGAAGGGCCAUCGCUCAACGGAUAAAAGGUACUCCGGGGAUAACAGGCUGAUACCGCCCAAGAGUUCAUAUCGACGGCGGUGUUUGGCACCUCGAUGUCGGCUCAUCACAUCCUGGGGCUGAAGUAGGUCCCAAGGGUAUGGCUGUUCGCCAUUUAAAGUGGUACGCGAGCUGGGUUUAGAACGUCGUGAGACAGUUCGGUCCCUAUCUGCCGUGGGCGCUGGAGAACUGAGGGGGGCUGCUCCUAGUACGAGAGGACCGGAGUGGACGCAUCACUGGUGUUCGGGUUGUCAUGCCAAUGGCACUGCCCGGUAGCUAAAUGCGGAAGAGAUAAGUGCUGAAAGCAUCUAAGCACGAAACUUGCCCCGAGAUGAGUUCUCCCUGAGACUUAGAGUCUCCUGAAGGAACGUUGAAGACGACGACGUUGAUAGGCCGGGUGUGUAAGCGCAGCGAUGCGUUGAGCUAACCGGUACUAAUGAACCGUGAGGCUUAACCUU